UACGUAGGCAGCAAGCGUUGUUCGGAGUUACUGGGCGUAAAGGGUGCGUAGGCGGUUUGCUAAGUUUGGUGUGAAAUCUCCCGGCUCAACUGGGAGGGUGCGCCGAAGACUGGCAAGCUCGAGUGGGGGAGAGGAGAGUGGAAUUCCUGGUGUAGCGGUGAAAUGCGUAGAUAUCAGGAGGAACACCGGUGGUGUAGACGGCUCUCUGGACCCUAACUGACGCUGAGGCACGAAAGCGUGGGUAGCAAACAGG
RNAcentral lists this ribosomal RNA (253 nucleotides) under uncultured bacterium. Its description in RNAcentral is "partial 16S ribosomal RNA". It matches the Rfam family "Bacterial small subunit ribosomal RNA", at positions 524 to 776 of the family's 1533-position model. The record is from RNAcentral.